GAUGAAGAACGCAGCGAAAUGCGAUACGUAGUGUGAAUUGCAGAAUUCAGUGAAUCAUCGAAUCUUUGAACGCACAUUGCACCUCUCGGUAUUCCGGGAGGUAUGCCUGUUCGAGCGUCAUUUGUACCCUCAAGCUCUGCUUGGUGUUGGGUGUUUGUUCCGCCUCUGUGUGUGAACUCGCCUCAAAACAAUUGGCAGCCUGCGUACUUGUUUCGGAGCGCAGCACAUUUUGCGAUCCAGAUCAACGUACAGCGGCAUCCAAGAAGCCUUAUUUAACGCUCUUGACCUCGGAUCAGGUAGGGAUACCCGCUGAACUUAAGCAUAUCAAUAAGCGGAGGA
RNAcentral lists this unclassified non-coding RNA (339 nucleotides) under soil metagenome. RNAcentral's name for it is "partial contains 5.8S ribosomal RNA, internal transcribed spacer 2, and large subunit ribosomal RNA". The stretch from base 1 to 120 matches the Rfam family "5.8S ribosomal RNA", at positions 35 to 154 of the family's 154-position model. The record is from RNAcentral.